UUGACUGGGGCGGUCGCCUCCCAAAAGGUAACGGAGGCGCUCAAAGGUUCUCUCAGUACGGUCGGAAAUCGUACGUAGAGUGUAAAGGCAAAAGAGAGCUUGAUUGCAAGACAUACAGGUCGAGCAAGGAUGAAAAUCGGACUUAGUGAUCCGGUGGUUCUGCGUGGAAGGGCCAUCGCUCAACGGAUAAAAGCUACCCUGGGGAUAACAGGCUUAUCUCCCCCAAGAGUCCACAUCGACGGGGAGGUUUGGCACCUCGAUGUCGGCUCAUCACAUCCUGGGGCUGUAGUAGGUCCCAAGGGUUGGGCUGUUCGCCCAUUAAAGUGGUACGCGGGCUGGGUUCAGAACGUCGUGAGACAGUUCGGUCCCUAUCCGUCGCAGGCGUAGGAAAUUUGAGAAGACCUGUCCUUAGUACGAGAGGACCGGGAUGGACGUACCUCUGGUGUACCAGUUGU
This 455-nucleotide ribosomal RNA is filed under the name Clostridioides difficile. RNAcentral describes it as "bacterial LSU rRNA". It matches the Rfam family "Bacterial large subunit ribosomal RNA", at positions 2270 to 2724 of the family's 2925-position model. Lineage: Bacteria; Bacillati; Bacillota; Clostridia; Peptostreptococcales; Peptostreptococcaceae. The record is from RNAcentral.